AUUUUUUUUUAAGUUCUGAGUAGUUACCAUACAGUGCAAUGUUGGUUUCUAGAGUAGAAUUCAGUGGUUCAUCACUUACAUACAGCACCCAGUGCUCAUCACAAGUGCCCUC
Molecule: long non-coding RNA, 112 nt
Organism: Mustela erminea (ermine)
Lineage: Eukaryota; Metazoa; Chordata; Mammalia; Carnivora; Mustelidae
Exons: 3
Source: RefSeq, a predicted model, not a curated record